RNAcentral lists this ribosomal RNA (159 nucleotides) under Rhizopus azygosporus. RNAcentral's name for it is "5.8S ribosomal RNA". The stretch from base 112 to 159 matches the Rfam family "5.8S ribosomal RNA", at positions 1 to 48 of the family's 154-position model. The record is from RNAcentral. Lineage: Eukaryota; Fungi; Mucoromycota; Mucoromycetes; Mucorales; Rhizopodaceae.
UGGGGUUUGAUCGAUGCCAAUCAGGAUUACCUUUCUUCCUUUGGGAGGGAAGGYGCCUGGUACCCUUUACCAUAUACCAUGAAUUCAGAAUUGAAAGUAUAAUAUAAGAACAACUUUUAACAAUGGAUCUCUUGGUUCUCGCAUCGAUGAAGAACGUAG